GGCAAAUAAAAGACCCUGUAACUGAAAUGAACUCUCAUGACCUCAAAGACCAGACAAAUCAUUCACCUUCAUUCCUUUUGGCACUUGAGAUUGUAAGACAUUCAUACAAACUGCUCACUAAACCAGAGUCAGGAACUGAUUAUCUUGUUGAACAUGGUUUGAAUGGAAAUAAUCCCCAACAAAACAAACAUGUCCCUUUUAC
RNAcentral lists this unclassified non-coding RNA (202 nucleotides) under Hevea brasiliensis (rubber tree). The record is from RNAcentral. Lineage: Eukaryota; Viridiplantae; Streptophyta; Magnoliopsida; Malpighiales; Euphorbiaceae.